RNAcentral lists this ribosomal RNA (245 nucleotides) under uncultured bacterium. RNAcentral's name for it is "partial 16S ribosomal RNA". It matches the Rfam family "Bacterial small subunit ribosomal RNA", at positions 108 to 353 of the family's 1533-position model. The record is from RNAcentral.
GAGUAAUGCGUGACCGACCUGCCCAUACACCGGAAUAGCUCCUGGAAACGGGUGGUAAUGCCGGACGCUCCAGUUGAUCGCAUGGUCUUCUGGGAAAGCUUUCGCGGUAUGGGAUGGGGUCGCGUCCUAUCAGCUUGACGGCGGGGUAACGGCCCACCGUGGCUUCGACGGGUAGCCGGCCUGAGAGGGGCGACCGGCCACAUUGGGACUGAGAUACGGCCCAGACUCCUACGGGAGGCAGCAUG